This 424-nucleotide ribosomal RNA is filed under the name Pantoea brenneri. RNAcentral describes it as "partial 23S ribosomal RNA". It matches the Rfam family "Bacterial large subunit ribosomal RNA", at positions 1138 to 1564 of the family's 2925-position model. The record is from RNAcentral. Lineage: Bacteria; Pseudomonadati; Pseudomonadota; Gammaproteobacteria; Enterobacterales; Erwiniaceae.
UAGCUCACUGGUCGAGUCGGCCUGCGCGGAAGAUGUAACGGGGCUAAACCAUGCACCGAAGCUGCGGCAGCGACACUAUGUGUUGUUGGGUAGGGGAGCGUUCUGUAAGCCGUCGAAGGUGUGCUGUGAGGCAUGCUGGAGGUAUCAGAAGUGCGAAUGCUGACAUAAGUAACGAUAAAGCGGGUGAAAAGCCCGCUCGCCGGAAGACCAAGGGUUCCUGUUCAACGUUAAUCGGAGCAGGGUGAGUCGACCCCUAAGGCGAGGCCGAAAGGCGUAGUCGAUGGGAAACAGGUUAAUAUUCCUGUACUUGGUGUUACUGCGAAGGGGGGACGGAGAAGGCUAUAUCAGCCGGGCGACGGUUGUCCCGGUUUAAGCGUGUAGGUGUGUGUUCCAGGCAAAUCCGGUUCACUUUACACUGAGGCGU